CAGCACCUCAAGUGGUCAGGAUGAUUAUUGGGCCUAAAGCAUCCGUAGCCUGCUUUGUUAGUUUUCGGUUAAAUCCAUACGCUCAACGUAUGGGCUGCCGGGAAUACUGCAAAGCUAGGGAGUGGGAGAGGUAGACGGUACUCGGUAGGAAGGGGUAAAAUCCUUUGAUCUAUUUAUGACCACCUGUGGCGAAGGCGGUCUACCAGAACACGUCCGACGGUGAGGGAUGAAAGCUGGGGGAGCAAACCGGAUUAGAUACCCGAGUAGUCC
Molecule: ribosomal RNA, 270 nt
Filed under: uncultured archaeon
Lineage: Archaea
Description: partial 16S ribosomal RNA
Rfam family: Archaeal small subunit ribosomal RNA
Source: RNAcentral